GUAAGACAGGUAAUCGCGGCUGUCAGGACCGAAAGGGGACAGGCGAGGAAAGUCCGGGCUUCAUAGGGCAGGAUGCCGGAUAACGUCCGGUGGAGGUGACUCCAAGGCAAGUGCAACAGAAAUAUACCGCCUGUGCAUGCAGGUAAGGGUGGAAUGGCAGUUUAAGAGACUACCGCUUCUCUGGUAACAGCGAAGGCAGAUGUAAACCCCAUCCGAAGCAAGACCGGAUAAAGACGAUGUGGCGGCCCGUCACGUCUUAGGUAGGUCGCUUGAACCUGCCGGUAACGGCAGGUCUAGAAAGAUGAUUACCCAACGACAUAACCCGGCUUAUCGUUUUGCUUG
RNAcentral lists this RNase P RNA (342 nucleotides) under human gut metagenome. RNAcentral's name for it is "Bacterial RNase P class A". It matches the Rfam family "Bacterial RNase P class A". From Rfam's summary of the family: Ribonuclease P (RNase P) is a ubiquitous endoribonuclease, found in archaea, bacteria and eukarya as well as chloroplasts and mitochondria. The record is from RNAcentral.